Molecule: long non-coding RNA, 884 nt
Filed under: Amborella trichopoda
Lineage: Eukaryota; Viridiplantae; Streptophyta; Magnoliopsida; Amborellales; Amborellaceae
Description: long non-coding RNA (ATRI_LNC004234)
Source: RNAcentral
CCAUAUCGAUCCAAAAACCAGAUUUCUGUGAUGAAUAAUAUAUGCGUAUAUUAAACUUUUUUACUCCUCCAAAUUACAGAAAUAUACAUUAAAAAAAAGAUAUAAUCAGAUUAAACCUUCAAUAUUUAGGGCAUCCCUAAAUGCAUACAAAAUCUAAAAAGAAAAAAAAAAUCUUAAAAUCAGUAAACGUAAUUUCAUGCUCCUGCAAAUUUCAUAAUCUUCAUGCUCCUGCAAAUUUCAGAAAAAAAACUCCAUCUUCUUGCUCCUGCAAUUACAGAGAAAAACCCCAAAAACCCCAUUUCAUUUUCUCUCUCUAACAUAUUCAAUUUCUCUCACAGAGAAAACCCCUUUUCAAUUUCUAUUUCAUUUUCUCUGUCUAACAAAAGACCCCCUUUCAAUUUCUCCCCCAGAUAAAACCCCCUUUCAAUUUCUCUCUCUAACAUAGAAACCCCCUCUCUUUCUAACAUAGAAAUCCCCUUUCAUUUUCUAAUCCUUUCAGGUCCAGCCCAUCCUCUCCAGCCCAUCCUCCCCUUUCAGCUCCAGGCAUCUCCCUGCUUUCAAUGGAGCAGCUAUUCAGCUCCAGGCCUCUUUCUGUUCUCAAUGAAACAGAGAUUACCCAUACUCUCCCUUUCAGCUCCAGCCCAUCCUUCCCUUUCAGCUCCGGGCCUCUCCCUGUUUUGAAGGAAGCAGAGAUUACCCGUAGUCUUUAGGCGUCUCCCUAUUUUCAGCGAUAUUUGUUUUAAAUGAAAACAAGAAUAUAAAACCUUAUUUUUAACCAUAGUUAUAAAAUGACUAAACCAUGGUUAGAGCAUUUAAUGAACAAAAAAAAAUUUGUGCUUUUUUGGGUAUGUUGAUAUUUGCUAAACCAUUUAAGUAGAUUUGGG